UCUGAAUCGGCGAACGGCUCCGCAAACCAGUUGUAAACUACCGCAAGCAAAUCCGUCCACGCCUUCACGGGCAAAGAUCGAUUACAUGGAUACCCCUGGUAAUUCUAAGGCUAAUAUAUGUCUAACGCACUCCUGUCAGCCGGGCUUCGGUCUAGCGGGCGGGAAGGAUGUAUUUUUCGGCUUUGGAGGGGGUUGGAACGAGCAUACACUCGAAUCGUCUGCAAUAAUUGGGUGGGUGGCUGACGCUUCUCUUUCGGGAGGGGUUGACGCUGCAAUACGCCCUGGCGAUUCUUGCUACGUGCUUCUGACCUAUCAACUAGACUGCAGCGUAAUGGACAUGCUAUGGU
RNAcentral lists this ribosomal RNA (347 nucleotides) under Colloderma robustum. RNAcentral describes it as "bacterial SSU rRNA". It matches the Rfam family "Eukaryotic small subunit ribosomal RNA", at positions 80 to 350 of the family's 1831-position model. The record is from RNAcentral. Lineage: Eukaryota; Evosea; Eumycetozoa; Stemonitida; Stemonitidae.